RNAcentral lists this ribosomal RNA (1773 nucleotides) under Triticum aestivum (bread wheat). RNAcentral's name for it is "partial small subunit ribosomal RNA". Lineage: Eukaryota; Viridiplantae; Streptophyta; Magnoliopsida; Poales; Poaceae. The record is from RNAcentral.
AUGGGAGGGUGCUUCUCCGGCGACGUCCGCGGCGGCAUGGAGGCCGUCGGCGGGGGCGCGAGGGGGGCGACGGCGGCGGCGGGGCAGUGCCAGGGCCAGGGCGGGCCCAACGAGGCGGUCGACCACUUCUUCCAGGGCCAGGCGCUGCGCCUCUACACCCCUCUCGAGCUAUCCUUUUCAGCUUCCAAGUUGAGAAAUAUGGAUGCUCUUUCUAAGAGUGAUCCUAUGUUGGUGGUUUACACAAAAAUGGAUGGAAGGCUAGAAGAGAUCGGCCGCACUGAAGUGAUAUUGAAUUCACUGGAACCAUUGUGGAUCACAAAAGCUAUGAUAAAUUACCAAUUUGAGAUUGUGCAACCGCUCGUGUUCAGGAUAUAUGACGUUGACACAAAGUACCAUAACACACCACUGAAGAUGUUGAACUUGGCUCAGCAAGAUUUUCUAGGGGAAGCAUUCUGCAAUUUAUCUGAGAUAGUCACAAAGUUCAACCAUAGCCUGACUUUGAACCUCCGAAAUGGUUCUGGACAUGCCCUUCAGGGCACAGUGACAGUACAUGCCGAAGAAACUGCUUCAUCAAGGAUGGCAGUUGAUAUGCAAUUCCACUGCCUGAACUUGGAUAACAAAGACACGUUCUCCAAAAGUGAUCCUUUCUUGAGAGUAUCAAGACUGUCAGAAAGUGCUGUUGCCAUUCCUAUAUGUAAAACAGAGGUGAUCAAGAACAAUUUAAACCCUGUUUGGAGGCCUAUAACACUGACAUCACAGCAGUACAGUAGCAAGGAUGACCCACUGCUAGUUGAGUGUUUUGAUUUUGAUGCCAGCGGCAACCAUGAACUUAUUGGGGCUCUCCAGACAACUAUCGCUCAGCUUGAAAAUCUAUAUAACUCAAAGGCUGGAGCAAAUUUUUACAGCCAUAAGGGACAAAAGAAGUUGAAAGGACAGCUGUUCUUGGAUAAGUUCCAGGAAAAAGUUCAACAUACUUUCUUGGACUAUAUUUCCAGCGGGUUUGAGCUCAAUUUUAUGGUGGCUGUAGAUUUUACUGCAUCAAAUGGUGACCCCCGUGUACCACAAUCUUUGCACUACAUUGACCCCUCUGGCAGACCAAACUCAUACCAGCAGGCAAUUCUAGGGGUAAGCGAAGUUCUACAGUUUUAUGACAAUGAUAGACGAUUCCCUGCAUGGGGUUUUGGUGCAAAGAUACCACGAGGAUCUGUAUCCCACUGUUUCAACUUGAAUGCAAGCACCAAUGACUGUGAGGUAGUUGGAGUUGAAGGCAUCAUGUCAGCAUACUCUUCUACUCUUUACAGCGUUUCUCUCGCGGGGCCAACCUUGUUUGGGCCAGUGAUCAGCAAAGCUGCAGAAAUUGCCAGCCAUUCUGUGCAAUAUGGAAACAACAAAUAUUUUGUCCUGCUCAUUAUCACGGAUGGAGUUAUCACUGACCAGCAAGAAACAAAAGAUUCUAUUGUAAGGGCAUCAGAUUUGCCGUUGUCGAUUCUCAUCGUGGGAGUAGGGAAUGCUGAUUUCACUCAAAUGAGGAUCCUGGAUGCGGACUUCGGUAAGCGGCUUGAAAGCUCAACAGGCAGGGUUGCAACGCGUGACAUAGUCCAGUUCGUCCCCAUGAGGGAAGUCCAAGCAGGUGGGCAGGUCACCGUUGUCCAGAGCCUGCUGGAGGAGCUGCCUGGGCAGUUCCUGGAGUACAUGCGCACCCGGGACAUCAAGCCGCGACCGCCCCAGCAUGCCUCGGCGCCGCCAGCCUACCCCCCUCCUCCCCAGCUGUGA